UAUAUAUAUAUAUAUAUAUAUAAACAUCUUACAGAUAUAUGCAAUAUAUUUUUCAUUUUCAUCUGGUGUUGUGAAGUUUGUUGAUGCAUGCAGAAACUUAUGCAAUCGCUUUUUCUCCAGUCUUAUUUUUACAGAUAGAAGAGACAACAACAAACGGCUAGAUAAAAGUUGGCAAGAAACAAAAACCCAGCCGAAGGGUUUCUCGAUUAACGUUAAACGAAUAAAAUAAAACGACUACCGUAAUUUGAAUGGAAGCACGGGCAUAAAAUUAUUUACGAUAAUUUAUUCUUAGCCGAAAGGAGAACCAUUCCACAGAUUAGAGUUACGAAACUAUACAUAUACACGUAUAAUUUCAAGCAAUCGCUUCAUUUGAAAAACCUCACAAUAUCAACUUUAACAUUUCACAUUCUGAAACUGCAAUUCUCCUCUUUAUUUAUCCUCUUUCCAGAGUCUCUCCACGAUUCACAUCUCCACGGAAUUGCUCAACGGAAGACGAGACUUCUAUAUAUCUCCGUUUGAAAAUUCUCAACCUUAACGUUUCUGCAACUAUUCUUCUUCACUUGCAUCAAUAAUCCGUUUCCCAACAGGGAUACAUCCAUAAUUUUAACCAAUUACUCUAUUUGAUGCUCCAUCAGAAUGGAUAUUAAGUAAUAUGUCGUUUUCGAAUAAAUCUCGCAAUUACCACUAUUCUUGUAUAUAUAUGUAUAUAUGUUAUUGUUACAGUGCCGUUUCGACGUUUGAUCAAUCGGCCAUCACGAGUGUCAGCGAUCGGAUGGUUUAUUAAUUCCGACGCAACAAGUGUCGAUGAUUAACGGCACGCGGCGCUGAUCGUCGUACCGCAACAUCUUGGAGAUCCUGGCUCGAGUAUUGUCUUCCUUCUCUUUCAUCAAUUUGAAAAAUGUUCAUCGAAAUCGUUCUGAUUCAAUGAUUUAUCUCGUAAAGGUAAUGGGAAGGAACUUUUUUUUAAAUAUAUAAAUCUCCCAUGAUUAAUUGUAAUGAUUGCGAUUGAAAGUUCCUAGAUUUUUAGUUUAAAAUUCCCUAGAUAAUGAGAUGUUUGUAAGUAAUAAUUUUCAUGGAAUGAAUUUAUGUUAUGUGUAAGUAUUAUAUAUAUUUAAUAAUAAUAAUAAUAUUGUAUAUAUUUUAUGUGUAAAUAUUUUAAUUUGAGGUUCGAUUAAGAAUUAAAAGAAACUUUAAAUUAUUGUAAUUUAGAAGAUAAUAACAUCAAUAUUCGACGACAUCCGAAAUUGGAAGUUGAAGUGAAACGUUGCUCUUUAAAACAGUUUAUUGUUCUCGAUAUGACUUUUGCUUCUUGAGAUAUGCAAAGAAAAAGGUAAUUUUUUAAUGUGUUAUUAUCUUGUAUUUAUUUUCACUGUAAAGAUUUAAAUGUAAAGUAAAUAAAUAGAUAAAAUGGAAAGGUUUGCUGAAAGGAUAUAACGCAGAGCAAGAAUAUAGGUCACUAAACCAUUGGGUCAGUCCAUUCAUAAUUCCUGUUUAAUUUCUAUUUAAAGUUUAUGGCCACUCUAAGCAGUUUACAACCGAUUGAGAUAUCAAAAGUGACUUUAACGGCGGUUUUGGUUUUUUUGAACAACACUUGUGCUGUAUUGCAACAUUGUAUACGUACUUUUGGCAUCUAUCAAUCGUUCACGUGGACUAAGAUCCGAAGAGGACAAUUGUUCCUUUACCUUGGCCACAUCUUUUGGAUGCAGGAUAUCGAACCAACUUUGACCCAACAGGUCACCCUGUGUGCAAAAAAAAUUUUAAAAUAUAUGAAAAUUUUAUUACGAAAGCAAUUAAAAAUUGGAUACCUGAGAAUAGUUGAGUGUCUGUAAAACAGACUCGGAUACGUAAAGGAUUCUUCCACGAUCACAGCCCACCACGAAGACAAAACCCUCCGCAGCCUGGAAACAGGAGGAGACAUCUUCGAUUAUGAGUUGGAGAGAUUUAAAUAAUAAGAAUAAA
Apis mellifera (honey bee) is the source of this 1959-nucleotide long non-coding RNA. RefSeq lists it as uncharacterized. The record is from RefSeq and is a predicted model, not a curated record. The transcript is spliced from 3 exons. Lineage: Eukaryota; Metazoa; Arthropoda; Insecta; Hymenoptera; Apidae.